Molecule: ribosomal RNA, 460 nt
Filed under: uncultured bacterium
Lineage: Bacteria
Description: partial 16S ribosomal RNA
Rfam family: Bacterial small subunit ribosomal RNA
Source: RNAcentral
CCUACGGGUGGCUGCAGUGAGGAAUAUUGGUCAAUGGGCGUAAGCCUGAACCAGCCAAGUCGCGUGAGGGAUGACGGUUCUAUGGAUCGUAAACCUCUUUUAUAAAGGAAUAAAACGAGGCACGUGUGCCUUUUUGCAUGUACUUUAUGAAUAAGGAUCGGCUAACUCCGUUCCAGCAGCCGCGGUAAUACGGAGGAUCCGAGCGUUAUCCGGAUUUAUUGGGUUUAAAGGGAGCGUAGAUGGGUUGUUAAGUCAGUUGUGAAAGUUUGCGGCUCAACCGUAAAAUUGCAAUUGAUACUGGCAGUCUUGAGUACAGUUGAGGUAGGCGGAAUUCGUGGUGUAGCGGUGAAAUGCUUAGAUAUCACGAAGAACCCCGAUUGCGAAGGCAGCUUACUAAACUGUGACUGACAUUGAUGCUCGAAAGUGUGGGUAUCAAACAGGAGUAGAUACCCCAGUAGUC